This 253-nucleotide ribosomal RNA is filed under the name uncultured bacterium. RNAcentral describes it as "partial 16S ribosomal RNA". It matches the Rfam family "Bacterial small subunit ribosomal RNA", at positions 524 to 776 of the family's 1533-position model. The record is from RNAcentral.
UACAGAGGGGGCAAGCGUUGUUCGGAAUUAUUGGGCGUAAAGAGCUCGUAGGCGGCUUGUCACGUCGGGUGUGAAAGCCCGGGGCUUAACCCCGGGUCUGCAUUCGAUACGGGCUGGCUAGAGUGUGGUAGGGGAGAUCGGAAUUCCUGGUGUAGCGGUGAAAUGCGCAGAUAUCAGGAGGAACACCGGUGGCGAAGGCGGAUCUCUGGGCCAUUACUGACGCUGAGGAGCGAAAGCGUGGGGAGCGAACAGG